GUGGGAGGGGGCUUGCCCCCGAUUGCAGUCUGCCAGUUGAUGCAUCUGUGACUGACACACAGCAAUCGGGGGCAAGCCCCCUCCCAC
RNAcentral lists this unclassified non-coding RNA (87 nucleotides) under Pseudomonas extremorientalis. The record is from RNAcentral. Lineage: Bacteria; Pseudomonadati; Pseudomonadota; Gammaproteobacteria; Pseudomonadales; Pseudomonadaceae.